RNAcentral lists this transfer RNA (75 nucleotides) under Bacillota bacterium. RNAcentral's name for it is "tRNA-Arg". It matches the Rfam family "tRNA". Rfam says of the family: Transfer RNA (tRNA) molecules are approximately 80 nucleotides in length. Their secondary structure includes four short double-helical elements and three loops (D, anti-codon, and T loops). Lineage: Bacteria; Bacillati; Bacillota. The record is from RNAcentral. RNAcentral also lists the same sequence under 2 other names.
GCCCCUGUAGCUCAGUGGAUAGAGCACUAGUCUCCGGAACUAGUAGCGUAGGUUCGAUUCCUACCAGGGGUACCA